UAUGAUGACGGUUUUGGUUGUCAGGCUGAGCAAAGUCCGUUUUCACGGACUUUGCUCAGCCUGACAAGAAUACCCUCUUUUUA
This 83-nucleotide microRNA precursor is filed under the name Capnocytophaga canimorsus Cc5. RNAcentral's name for it is "microRNA". The record is from RNAcentral. Lineage: Bacteria; Pseudomonadati; Bacteroidota; Flavobacteriia; Flavobacteriales; Flavobacteriaceae.